UUGAGAAUCACUUGAGCACUAGGGGGAAGCCGGGAAGAUUCUAUCUCACUUCUGCUCUUUCUGGGCCUGUGUUUCCUCUGUUGCUACAGACAGGCUUUCUGUACUGCCCAUCCUCCCCUACACCUCACAGUAGUCUUCGUGGUAGAAAAUGGCCACCAAUAAUUCCCAAAUUUAAAUCUCUUUUGGAGCACUAACCAAAUUGAGACUAGCAUCCAGUUCCAGUUGCAAAUUCUGGGGGAGGAGCUCAGGUGGCCCAGGUUGUGUCAGCAAUCUCCUCAAGGUCGUUCCCAGUAUAACUCUUGAAUGGAGGAAUGUUGGGGUUGGGAAGGGCCAGUUCCCAGAAAAGAGGUGGGGGAGGCAGAAAAAACAAUGGGUAUCCCUUAUGGGAGGCAAUAGAAGAAGAUCUAGGAUGACUAAGCAUCUUGGUUUGCCUGGGACUUUCCUAGUUUUAGCACUGAAAAUCUCUACUCCCGGGAAACUCCUUGGUCCUGAGCAAACUAGAACAAUUGGCCACCUGAGAAGUGAAAAGUGGGGCAGGAAAGGAGGGGCUUUCACUUUUCGGGGGGUGCACAAAAGGAAGAGAAGGGGUCAGGCCCCACUGAGAAAAAAGUGACAAUCAGAGAGGGAAGAACCACAGAAGUCGGAGUCCUAGAAGGUGAAAUAUAUGGGCACUGGGGGAAGAGGGAAGUAUGAAUGUCCGACGCCAUAGAGAGAUCUAGAAGACUGGAGGACAAUGAUGAGGGCUUUGGGUUUGUUCACGGAAAGAGGCCUUGGAGUCUAGAGCCAGCAGCUUGGAACUAGAGCAGCCACGUGGAGCCUUUUGCAUUUGCGAGGGAAGUGCAUCCUCCCAUCAGCCUGGUUUGACAACAGUCUGGCCCAUAUCACACCAGCCCCAAUGCAUCGCUUAAUAUCCUGAAGAAGUAAAACUGGGCUAAGUGUCAGUAAACUGUGGAUAUAAAAUGACAUAAAAAUUAAUCUUGUUGGGAGGGCAGCCCCGUGACUGAAUGGUUAAGUUCAUGUGCUCCGCUUUGGCGGCCCAGGGUCCCCUGGUUCAGAUCCUGGAUGCAGACCUACUCACCGCUCAUCAAGCCAUGCUGUGGUGGCAUCCCACAUAGGAGAACUAGAAUGACCUACAACUAGGGCUAGGAACUGAUUGCUGCAUUCAACUGCGACCACCCAGCUCUCACCCGUGACCACCCAGCUUGAGACAGCAGACCUGCCACCCUGCUGUGUCCAUCAAUUGCCGUGCCAACAGAGCAGUCUUGUGAUUAUUGUAAAAGGGACAUUUCAAUCAUAUGUGAAACAUGCUGUUUGAGGGUAUAUAACCA
Molecule: long non-coding RNA, 1328 nt
Filed under: Equus asinus (donkey)
Lineage: Eukaryota; Metazoa; Chordata; Mammalia; Perissodactyla; Equidae
Description: lncRNA (ENSEASG00005028287.1)
Source: RNAcentral